UCUUAAAUAAAGUGAUUUGCAUCAGCAGCUCCAUGCUCCAGCGCUCUGGGAGAGUUUAUAGUCCUGACAGUUGAACACUGGAUGACUGACAGCUGUCCUUCAUCACAGCAGAAGACACAGAAAUCCUCCUCAUCAUCAGAAACAUGACUUUGAUCUGCGUCCUCAUCUGGACUCUCCUCUGCUGCUGCUUCACAGAGGUCAGAGGUCAGGUAACUGUGACUCAGCCUGCAGCAGUGAGAGUUGAUCUGGGAAGAACUGUCAGCAUUAACUGUAGAACCAGUCAGAAUGUUUAUGGUUCUGACCGUUUAGCCUGGUACCAACAGAAAGAUGGACAAACUCCUAAGCUCCUCAUUUAUCGUACCAGCACUAAAGCAUCAGGGACUCCAAGUCGUUUUUCAGGCAGUGGAUCAAACUCUGACUUCACUCUGACCAUCAGUGGAGUUCAGGCUGAAGAUGCUGCAGUUUAUUACUGUCAGAGUUUUCAUUACAUCAACAGUCAGGAUGUGUUCACACAGUGA
Molecule: non-coding RNA, 518 nt
Organism: Poecilia reticulata (guppy)
Lineage: Eukaryota; Metazoa; Chordata; Actinopteri; Cyprinodontiformes; Poeciliidae
Source: the annotation of a RefSeq genome assembly